RNAcentral lists this non-coding RNA (256 nucleotides) under Clostridium sp. RNAcentral describes it as "T-box sequence". It matches the Rfam family "T-box leader". From Rfam's summary of the family: Uncharged tRNA acts as the effector for transcription antitermination of genes in the T-box leader family. The record is from RNAcentral. Lineage: Bacteria; Bacillati; Bacillota; Clostridia; Eubacteriales; Clostridiaceae.
AGAAAGAUAGUGAUAAGGAAGAGUAAUUUGACUAAGCAUUAAAGAGAGCUAAAGAAUGGUGAAAUUUAGUAUGAUAUGUUAAGUGAAGCAGCCUUUGAAUCUCGUAUUGAAAAAUAAGAAUAUAAAUUCUUAAUUAGGUAUUGACGUUGUUCUCACGUUAUAGAGAAUUGAAUAUUUUAUGUAUUCAAGUUGAGUGAGUAAAUUAAAUUUUACUUAUUAGGGUGGUACCGCGGAAGCUAUAUCCUUCGUCCCUUGU